UACGUAGGGGGCAAGCGUUGUCCGGAUUUAUUGGGCGUAAAGAGCGUGUAGGCGGUUAGGUAGGUCCGUUGUGAAAACUCGAGGCUCAACCUCGAGACGCCGAUGGAAACCAUCUGACUAGAGUCCGGAAGAGGAGAGUGGAAUUCCUGGUGUAGCGGUGAAAUGCGCAGAUAUCAGGAAGAACACCCGUGGCUAAGGCGGCUCUCUAGUACGUGACUGACGCUGAGACGCGAAAGCGUGGGGAUCAAACAGG
RNAcentral lists this ribosomal RNA (253 nucleotides) under uncultured bacterium. RNAcentral describes it as "partial 16S ribosomal RNA". It matches the Rfam family "Bacterial small subunit ribosomal RNA", at positions 524 to 776 of the family's 1533-position model. The record is from RNAcentral.